Molecule: long non-coding RNA, 841 nt
Organism: Ipomoea nil (Japanese morning glory)
Lineage: Eukaryota; Viridiplantae; Streptophyta; Magnoliopsida; Solanales; Convolvulaceae
Exons: 3
Source: RefSeq, a predicted model, not a curated record
CUGCUGAGGAAUCCGACAAAGCUGCUGACGAGGGUUCCGCCUCCCUUGCGAUAGUCGCCGACCAGUUUGCAACCGCUGAUGAAUUCGACGAAGUUAGGGCUCUGACUCAGCUGCGAUAGCCGCCUACCAGUUCGCCCACCAACGGCUCGUGAGUUUUCAAAUGAACUCCGUAUCAGUACUAAGGCACCAAAAGCUCCAACUGUAUGGCUUGAAGGUUCAGGUUCCACUUAGAGUCUAACCAGUGUAGACACUUGUGUAGUUUCAGAAGCAUACUCUAAAAUGCUUACAGUAUUUGUCCCACUACUGGUGGAUGGGGUUAUCCUUCAAACUCUAUCUUUUACUAUGGGGUUUUUUACCAUGUGCUUGCAUGUGUAAACUUAUGUUUUGAUUGGUGCCAUCCAAUUAUGCUUUUCCUUGUCUAUUUCUAUAAUUGCAGAGUUUUUUCUUUGGACAUUUUAUGUGCUUUGAAGUUCCUACACAUGGCAAUAAAACUGGGCAUGGUGAUGAUGUGAUGAUUUAGGCAUCAUGGACAUUGACAAUAAUAAUAACAUAGCUGGUGAGAAAGAAGAUGAAGCUGGAAUAUGAAGCAGUAGGAGGUGAUCGAUCUUUUGGAAUCAAGAUUGAAGAAGCAGAUUGUAAUUUGAUGAAGGUCAUGGCCUUUCACUCUUAAUUGCAUUGUUCUUAGGGCGUUUCAUGACCACCCUUAGUGUUUUCUUAGGCCGAAUGGCCUUGUAUUGAUGUUAGGCCGAAUGGCCUUUGUGGAUGUUAGGCCCGGAUGGCCUUGUUAAACUCUUGUGAGCCAUAGCUCACUUUUGGGGCUGUGGCAUCUUUGUAAAAAAUA